AACGAACGCUGGCGGCAUGCCUAACACAUGCAAGUCGAACGAGACCUUCGGGUCUAGUGGCGCACGGGUGCGUAACGCGUUGGAACCUGCCCUUAGGUUCGGAAUAACUCCCCGAAAGGGGUGCUAAUACCGGAUAAUGUCUUCGGACCAAAGAUUUAUCGCCUUUGGAUGGGCCCGCGUUGGAUUAGCUAGUUGGUAGGGUAAAAGCCUACCAAGGCGACGAUCCAUAGCUGGUCUGAGAGGAUGAUCAGCCACACUGGGACUGAGACACGGCCCAGACUCCUACGGGAGGCAGCAGUGGGGAAUAUUGGACAAUGGGCGAAAGCCUGAUGCAGCAAUGCCGCGUGAGUGAUGAAGGCCUUAGGGUUGUAAAGCUCUUUUAUACGGGAUGAUAAUGACAGUAACGGGAGAAUAAGCGCCGGCUAACUACGUG
This 433-nucleotide ribosomal RNA is filed under the name uncultured bacterium. RNAcentral describes it as "partial 16S ribosomal RNA". It matches the Rfam family "Bacterial small subunit ribosomal RNA", at positions 29 to 507 of the family's 1533-position model. The record is from RNAcentral.